AUGCAGUCGAGCGGACAGAAAGGGAGGCUUGCUCCCGGACGUUAGCGGCGGACGGGUGAGUAACACGUGGGUAACCUGCCUGUUAAGACUGGGAUAACUCCGGGAAACCGGAGCUAAUACCGGAUAGUUCUUGAACCGCAUGGUUCAAGGCUGAAAGACGGUUUCGGUAUCACUUACAUAGUUGGUGCCGCGGCGAUUAGCCGACCUGAGAGGGUGAUCGGCCACACUGGGACUGAGACGGCCCAGACUCCUACGGGAGGCAGCAGUAGGGAAUCUUCCACAAUGGGCGAAAGCGUGAUGGAGCAACGGUGGUGGAAGAAGGUUUUCC
RNAcentral lists this ribosomal RNA (328 nucleotides) under Streptomyces sp. RNAcentral's name for it is "bacterial SSU rRNA". It matches the Rfam family "Bacterial small subunit ribosomal RNA", at positions 55 to 420 of the family's 1533-position model. Lineage: Bacteria; Bacillati; Actinomycetota; Actinomycetes; Kitasatosporales; Streptomycetaceae. The record is from RNAcentral.